CGGGGUGGUGGUGCAGAGCUUGCCACUUCAUUUGGGUCUUACAUGCCACAUAGUACACGGGGCUUUGAUGACAAGACUAUGCUGUUUAAGAGGCACUCUCCCUCGCUUACAGGGAAUAAUGGUGAGUCAUGCACAGGGACACAGGAUCAGAAAACCUUCCAUUCUGCAAAUGGUAAUGUUAAAGUCAGAACAAGGAUGGAACUACCACCUGUAUGACACAAUACUUUCUGAUCAAAGGACAUAUUCAUGGCUUCAACUCCUCAAGCAUGCUGAUAUUCAGCAAAAUGAAGUGCCUGGCAUGUCCUAGAGUUUAACUUCAAGAAAAAAAGCACAAAGUCUGGAGAUGAUGGCCUGUUGAGCUACCUAGGAGACAAAGUAAAUUGGGAGCUGUACCAGUUACUGAUGACUGACAGGUCCACCCUGCCUUCUGGACUGCAAAGAUUGGAAUGGUGAAGUAGGGCAGCCGGUCGCUACUUACCUGUUGCUAAUUGACCUACUCUUCUAUCGUUCACGGUGGUGACAAAGAAAGACCCAUGACAUCUUCCAUCUGAUGGGUCAACUGUUCAGCAAUGCUGGGACAGGAAAAGACCCCAAUCCUGCUACUGCAGCCUUUCAUUGACAGCAGACCGUGGACUAACACUGAAACCAGAUUGCACUGUGCAGUAACUCUUGAAAUGUCUCUUUCCGCUCGCUUUUUUAAUUUGCCUUUUGUUUCUGGAAUUGUUGUUCCACCCAUUAUUAUUUCUUCCUUGAAUUAUGAAACUGAAUAUUGCAGUG
Molecule: long non-coding RNA, 777 nt
Organism: Chelonia mydas (Green sea turtle)
Lineage: Eukaryota; Metazoa; Chordata; Testudines; Cheloniidae
Exons: 4
Source: RefSeq, a predicted model, not a curated record